GCCUGGCUGGCUCAGUUGGUAGAGCAUGUGACUUGAUCUCAGGGUUGUGGGUUUGAGUCCCAUGUUGGGCA
This 71-nucleotide transfer RNA is filed under the name Ailuropoda melanoleuca (giant panda). Its description in RNAcentral is "tRNA-Gln (TTG) (tRNA-Gln-TTG-4-1)". It matches the Rfam family "tRNA". From Rfam's summary of the family: Transfer RNA (tRNA) molecules are approximately 80 nucleotides in length. Their secondary structure includes four short double-helical elements and three loops (D, anti-codon, and T loops). Further hydrogen bonds mediate the characteristic L-shaped molecular structure. tRNAs have two regions of fundamental functional importance: the anti-codon, which is responsible for specific mRNA codon recognition, and the 3' end, to which the tRNAs corresponding amino acid is attached (by aminoacyl-tRNA synthetases). tRNAs cope with the degeneracy of the genetic code in two manners: having more than one tRNA (with a specific anti-codon) for a particular amino acid; and 'wobble' base-pairing, i.e. permitting non-standard base-pairing at the 3rd anti-codon position. Lineage: Eukaryota; Metazoa; Chordata; Mammalia; Carnivora; Ursidae. The record is from Rfam by way of RNAcentral.